GCAAGCAAGCUCAUUUACAGAAGUGAAAACACGAAGCUUACUAUCUUAUGUGAUCAACAGCCCCCAGCAAUUUCAGGCAGCUCCCUGUCCUUGGGCAAGUGGGGCUCCCAGGGUAGAGGGUCUAUCUCUAAAGCCCUUCUCCAGAACCCACAUCUGAGGAUCCUUUGUUAGAAUUUGAAGACAAUCCUGAAGAUGUCUACAAGGCACCAGGAAGAUUACAGCCUGUGGCAGAGCACAGGUCAACCAAAACCUGCUAGAGAAAUGCUGGCCAGUUUGGAGCAUACAGAAGAAAUGUUGGGGAAAGUGAAUUCCAGCAAAAGAACAUAGUGUCAAUCAUCUCAGUAAAUGGC
This is a long non-coding RNA of Mesocricetus auratus (golden hamster), 350 nucleotides long. RefSeq lists it as uncharacterized. NCBI's taxonomy places the organism in Eukaryota, Metazoa, Chordata, Mammalia, Rodentia, Cricetidae. The transcript has 3 exons. The record is from RefSeq and is a predicted model, not a curated record.